Molecule: ribosomal RNA, 253 nt
Filed under: uncultured bacterium
Lineage: Bacteria
Description: partial 16S ribosomal RNA
Rfam family: Bacterial small subunit ribosomal RNA
Source: RNAcentral
UACGAAGGGUGCUAGCGUUGUUCGGAUUUACUGGGCGUAAAGGGCGCGUAGGCGGCCUUCUCAGUCGGGUGUGAAAGCCCGGGGCUCAACCCCGGAACGGCACCCGAGACGGGAAGGCUGGAGACCGGGAGAGGAGGGUGGAAUAGCCAGUGUAGAGGUGAAAUUCGUAGAUAUUGGCUGGAACACCGGUGGCGAAAGCGGCUCUCUGGCCCGGUUCUGACGCUGAGGCGCGAAAGCGUGGGGAGCAAACAGG